GACGAACGCUGGCGGCGUGGAUUAGGCAUGCAAGUCGAACGGUAUCAUCCUUCGGGGGUGAGAGAGUGGCGAACUGGUGAGUAACACGUAGGUUAUCUACCCUCAAGACGGGGACAACCCAGGGAAACUUGGGCUAAUACCGGAUGUGAGCAACUUUUAGUUGUUUGAAAGGUGGCGUAAGCUGUCGCUUGGGGAUGAGCCUGCGUCCUAUUAGUUAGUUGGUGAGGUAACGGCUCACCUAGGCAAUGAUAGGUAGGCGGCCUUAACGGGUGGUCGCCCACACUGGGAUUGAGAUACGGCCCAGACUCCUACGGGAGGCAGCAGUCGAGAAUAGUCUACAAUGGCCGGAAGACUGAUAGUGCGACGCCGCGUGAACGAUGAAUCCCUUCGGGGUGUAAAGUUCUUUUAUAUGUGAGCAGUGCUUCUUAUAUUAACAGUAUGGGGAGAGAGAUAUUAGCAUAUGAAUAAGCAACGGCUAACUCCGUG
RNAcentral lists this ribosomal RNA (486 nucleotides) under uncultured bacterium. RNAcentral's name for it is "bacterial SSU rRNA". It matches the Rfam family "Bacterial small subunit ribosomal RNA", at positions 28 to 507 of the family's 1533-position model. The record is from RNAcentral.